This 368-nucleotide ribosomal RNA is filed under the name uncultured organism. Its description in RNAcentral is "bacterial SSU rRNA". It matches the Rfam family "Bacterial small subunit ribosomal RNA", at positions 526 to 896 of the family's 1533-position model. The record is from RNAcentral.
CGGAGGGUGCAAGCGUUAUCCGGAUUCACUGGGUUUAAAGGGUGCGUAGGUGGGUUGGUAAGUCAGUGGUGAAAUCUCCAGGCUUAACUUGGGAACUGCCAUUGAUACUAUCAAUCUUGAAUACCGUGGAGAUGAGCGGAAUAUGUCAUGUAGCGGUGAAAUGCUUAGAUAUGACAUAGAACACCAAUUGCGAAGGCAGCUCGUUACACGAAUAUUGACACUGAUGCACGAAAGCGUGGGGAUCAAACAGGAUUAGAUACCCUGGUAGUCCACGCCCUAAACGAUGGAUACUCGACAUUUGCGAUAAACUGCAAGUGUCUGAGCGAAAGCAUUAAGUAUCCCACCUGGGAAGUACGACCGCAAGGUUG